This is a long non-coding RNA of Actinia tenebrosa (Australian red waratah sea anemone), 491 nucleotides long. RefSeq lists it as uncharacterized. NCBI's taxonomy places the organism in Eukaryota, Metazoa, Cnidaria, Anthozoa, Actiniaria, Actiniidae. The record is from RefSeq and is a predicted model, not a curated record.
GCUUGCUUAAAAUUAGUCUAGAGAACAUUUGAGACCUGGAAACAGUUUAGAAGACGUACAAGAAGAAAUAAAACAUGAAGUGGAUGUCUGUGCUUGUUUUCCUGAUGGUCAUCCUUUGUCUACAAUCUGUCCUUGGUGUGAAGAACCACGAUAACAAGGCAGAAAAAAGCAGCAGGGAAAAAGUUUACAAGAUGAAGGGUGCUGACCGAGGAGAUGGAGGUCACCGACCAACCCAGCCAAUGAAAAGAGGCCUUUGGCUUUGGACGAAUAUUCCUACUACUUCCCCUCACAACGCAUUUGACAAAUAUGGCUAAUAUAUAUAGAUUUUCGUAAGUGACCAUGUCAAUGCAUAAUUUUUGCCAAGAAAUACAUGCAACAAUAGCAAAAAAGAAAAUGAUCUUUGUAGUUAACGUAAUACUCUGGAGAAUAUCUAGGCCUGUUAGUAUAUGUAAGGUUUACAAGGAUCAAUAAUUAAACGACUUGCAAUGAUA